RNAcentral lists this transfer RNA (73 nucleotides) under Myotis brandtii (Brandt's bat). It matches the Rfam family "tRNA". Rfam says of the family: Transfer RNA (tRNA) molecules are approximately 80 nucleotides in length. Their secondary structure includes four short double-helical elements and three loops (D, anti-codon, and T loops). The record is from Rfam by way of RNAcentral. Lineage: Eukaryota; Metazoa; Chordata; Mammalia; Chiroptera; Vespertilionidae.
GCCGGCUUGGCUCAGUGGGUAGAGCGUCGGCCUGGGGACUGAAGGGUCCCGGGUUCAAUUCCCGGUCAGGGCA